UCUCCGUAGGUGAACCUGCGGAAGGAUCAUUAUUGUAUAACCGAGGUGCGAGGGCUGACGCUGGCCCGAUAGGUCGUGCACGCUCGAGUGCCCGCACACACAUCUAUCUCACUCCUGCUCGCACCCCCGCGUGGGCUCCCCUUUGGUUCGUUCGGCGGGCGGUCCACGUUUUCACCCCAACUUUCCAUGCAGUGCAGAAUGAAUUUUACGUCUUUCAGCAUACCCAAGCAACACAACUUUCAACAACGGAUCCCUUGGAUCUCGCAGCGCUGAAGAACG
This 279-nucleotide unclassified non-coding RNA is filed under the name plant metagenome. Its description in RNAcentral is "partial contains small subunit ribosomal RNA, internal transcribed spacer 1, and 5.8S ribosomal RNA". The record is from RNAcentral.